CCUCCAACGGACUUGACCACUAAAAGCUAAGCACACCCCCGGCCAUGGCGCUCGCGUCCACCUCCGCCACCGCGCCCGCUGCCGUGCUCAAGACCCCGUUCCUCGGCGCCAGGCGCGCGCUCGCCAAUGCCACCGCGCCCAAGCCCGCGCCGCGCGCUCCUCGCCGUCGCCGCGGCCGCCGCCAAGAAGUUGUGGAUCCCCGCCUUCAAGAGCGACGCCGAGUUCAUCAACCCGCCCUGGCUCGACGGAUCGCUCCCUGGCGACUUCGGGUUCGAUCCGCUGGGGCUGGGUAAGGACCCGGCGUUCCUCAAGUGGUACCGGGAGGCGGAGCUGAUCCACGGGCGGUGGGCGAUGGCCGCCGUGCUGGGCAUCUUCAUGGGCCAG
Molecule: RNA transcript, 384 nt
Organism: Zea mays
Lineage: Eukaryota; Viridiplantae; Streptophyta; Magnoliopsida; Poales; Poaceae
Exons: 2
Source: RefSeq, marked validated